This 253-nucleotide ribosomal RNA is filed under the name uncultured Spirochaeta sp. Its description in RNAcentral is "partial 16S ribosomal RNA". It matches the Rfam family "Bacterial small subunit ribosomal RNA", at positions 524 to 776 of the family's 1533-position model. Lineage: Bacteria; Pseudomonadati; Spirochaetota; Spirochaetia; Spirochaetales; Spirochaetaceae. The record is from RNAcentral.
GACGUAUGGGGCGAGCGUUGUUCGGAAUUAUUGGGCGUAAAGGGUAUGCAGGCGGUUUGGUAAGUCUGGUGUGCAAGACCUCGGCUUAACUGAGGGAACGCACUGGAAACUGCUGAACUAGAGUACAGGAAGGGGAGUUGGAAUUCCAGGUGUAGGGGUGAAAUCUGUAGAUAUCUGGAAGAACAUCAGUGGCGAAGGCGAACUCCUGGCCAUGUACUGACGCUGAGAUACGAAAGCGUGGGGAGCAAACAGG